This 72-nucleotide transfer RNA is filed under the name Camelus dromedarius (Arabian camel). It matches the Rfam family "tRNA". Rfam says of the family: Transfer RNA (tRNA) molecules are approximately 80 nucleotides in length. The record is from Rfam by way of RNAcentral. RNAcentral also lists the same sequence under 1 other name. Lineage: Eukaryota; Metazoa; Chordata; Mammalia; Artiodactyla; Camelidae.
GGAUAUAGAGCUCAGUGGUAGAACACGUGCUUGGCAUACACGAAGUCCUGGGUUUAAUCCUCAGUGCCUCCG